UGCUGGAGGUAUCAGAAGUGCGAAUGCUGACAUAAGUAACGAUAAAGCGGGUGAAAAGCCCGCUCGCCGGAAGACCAAGGGUUCCUGUCCAACGUUAAUCGGGGCAGGGUGAGUCGACCCCUAAGGCGAGGCCGAAAGGCGUAGUCGAUGGGAAACGGGUUAAUAUUCCCGUACUUGGUGUUACUGCGAAGGGGGGACGGAGAAGGCUAUGUUGGCCGGGCGACGGUUGUCCCGGUUUAAGCGUGUAGGUGUGUGUUCCAGGUAAAUCCGGUUCACUUUAACACUGAGGCGUGACGACGAGGCACUACGGUGCUGAAGCAACAAAUGCCCUGCUUCCAGGAAAAGCCUCUAAGCAUCAGGUAACAUCAAAUCGUACCCCAAACCGACACAGGUGGUCAGGUAGAGAAUACCAAGGCGCUUGAGAGAACUCGGGUGAAGGAACUAGGCAAAAUGGUGCCGUAACUUCGGGAGAAGGCACGCUGACACGUAGGUGAAGUGAUUUACUCAUGGAGCUGAAGUCAGUCGAAGAUACCAGCUGGCUGCAACUGUUUAUUAAAAACACAGCACUGUGCAAACACGAAAGUGGACGUAUACGGUGUGACGCCUGCCCGGUGCCGGAAGGUUAAUUGAUGGGGUCAGCGCAAGCGAAGCUCCUGAUCGAAGCCCCGGUAAACGGCGGCCGUAACUAUAACGGUCCUAAGGUAGCGAAAUUCCUUGUCGGGUAAGUUCCGACCUGCACGAAUGGCGUAAUGAUGGCCAGGCUGUCUCCACCCGAGACUCAGUGAAAUUGAACUCGCUGUGAAGAUGCAGUGUACCCGCGGCAAGACGGAAAGACCCCGUGAACCUUUACUAUAGCUUGACACUGAACAUUGAGCCUUGAUGUGUAGGAUAGGUGGGAGGCUUUGAAGUGUGGACGCCAGUCUGCAUGGAGCCGACCUUGAAAUACCACCCUUUAAUGUUUGAUGUUCUAACGUGGACCCGUUACCCGGGUUGCGGACAGUGUCUGGUGGGUAGUUUGACUGGGGCGGUCUCCUCCUAAAGAGUAACGGAGGAGCACGAAGGUUGGCUAAUCCUGGUCGGACAUCAGGAGGUUAGUGCAAUGGCAUAAGCCAGCUUGACUGCGAGCGUGACGGCGCGAGCAGGUGCGAAAGCAGGUCAUAGUGAUCCGGUGGUUCUGAAUGGAAGGGCCAUCGCUCAACGGAUAAAAGGUACUCCGGGGAUAACAGGCUGAUACCGCCCAAGAGUUCAUAUCGACGGCGGUGUUUGGCACCUCGAUGUCGGCUCAUCACAUCCUGGGGCUGAAGUAGGUCCCAAGGGUAUGGCUGUUCGCCAUUUAAAGUGGUACGCGAGCUGGGUUUAGAACGUCGUGAGACAGUUCGGUCCCUAUCUGCCGUGGGCGCUGGAGAACUGAGGGGGGCUGCUCCUAGUACGAGAGGACCGGAGUGGACGCAUCACUGGUGUUCGGGUUGUCAUGCCAAUGGCACUGCCCGGUAGCUAAAUGCGGAAGAGAUAAGUGCUGAAAGCAUCUAAGCACGAAACUUGCCCCGAGAUGAGUUCUCCCUGAGACUUAAAGUCUCCUGAAGGAACGUUGAAGACGACGACGUUGAUAGGCCGGGUGUGUAAGCGCAGCGAUGCGUUGAGCUAACCGGUACUAAUGAACCGUGAGGCUUAACCUUA
RNAcentral lists this ribosomal RNA (1677 nucleotides) under Salmonella enterica subsp. enterica serovar Enteritidis str. 2009K1726. RNAcentral's name for it is "bacterial LSU rRNA". It matches the Rfam family "Bacterial large subunit ribosomal RNA", at positions 1271 to 2925 of the family's 2925-position model. The record is from RNAcentral. Lineage: Bacteria; Pseudomonadati; Pseudomonadota; Gammaproteobacteria; Enterobacterales; Enterobacteriaceae. RNAcentral also lists the same sequence under 1 other name.